GGGGAAUAUUGCGCAAUGGGGGAAACCCUGACGCAGCGACGCCGCGUGAAGGAAGAAGGCCUUCGGGUUGUAAACUUCUUUGAUCGGGGACGAAGAUGACGGUACCCGAGGAACAAGCCACGGCUAACUACGUGCCAGCAGCCGCGGUAAAACGUAGGUGGCUAGCGUUGUCCGGAAUUACUGGGCGUAAAGGGCGUGUAGGCGGGGGUGCAAGUCAGGUGUGAAAUACCGCGGCUCAACCGCGGGGGUGCAUCUGAAACUGCAUCUCUUGAGUGCCGGAGAGGAAAGCGGAAUUCCCAGUGUAGCGGUGAAAUGCGUAGAGAUUGGGAGGAACACCAGUGGCGAAGGCGGCUUUCUGGACGGCAACUGACGCUGAGGCGCGAAAGCGUGGGGAGCAAACAGGA
This 404-nucleotide ribosomal RNA is filed under the name uncultured bacterium. RNAcentral's name for it is "bacterial SSU rRNA". It matches the Rfam family "Bacterial small subunit ribosomal RNA", at positions 356 to 777 of the family's 1533-position model. The record is from RNAcentral.